This is a long non-coding RNA of Osmerus eperlanus (European smelt), 1301 nucleotides long. RefSeq lists it as uncharacterized. NCBI's taxonomy places the organism in Eukaryota, Metazoa, Chordata, Actinopteri, Osmeriformes, Osmeridae. The transcript has 4 exons. The record is from RefSeq and is a predicted model, not a curated record.
UUGCCCUGGCUGUCUGUGUACCUGUCCACCAGUCUGCCGAACGCGUCUGUCAGUCAGUAUGUCUGCCCCGAAGGGUCUCUUUCUGGUCCUCUUGAUCGCUGUGUGCGCUUGCCUCAACACAGCCUGUGGCGACUUUCGAAUUCGCCGCUUGCCCACUAAGUUCGAGCCAACCUUUUGUUGUAAGACUGUGCGCAAUCCUACUCUCAAGAAUGUCAGUGAAUACUGCAGACUAAAGGCUGACCCUCCCUGCUUGGAAGCUGUUAUCUUCAAGACUGAGAGAGGCCAUGUCUGCUGUGACCCCAAGGCACCCUUGGUAAAGAAGAUGAUGGAAGCCUUGGAUAAGAAGAAAGGUAGUGCUUUGCUGAGGGGGUAGAGGACUGGGUUCUUCAUUCGUCUUGUGAUCUCCUCUGAAGAAGCAUCGAGCCAUCCUUUACAUCCUAACAACACCUGCUACUGUGUUCUAUUGCAUUCUAAUCUAAUACUGUUCAAUCUGCAAUGUACUCUAUCGUUAAAACUCAAACGCAUCAGGCGCCACCAUACACACACACAUGAGAACGCCACACUUAAACUUGAAAUAUGGUGUAAUAUUUAAAGUGGCUGUAAAGCAAAACUGAAAAUGAGUUUUAAGUUCAUCACACCACAGAAGAAUGUGUUGUUAACUACCCAUCCAAAUUCGAAUGAAAAAAUGAAACACAGACAAGUAUGUUAAAUUAUGCUUUGAAAUCGUGAGAAAAUCAGGAGUCUUCUCUGCUUGAGACUGGGGGGGCAUGUCGCCUGAAGGAGCUGAAGCUCCGCCCCCUCGAAUUUAUUGAAUUUUGCAACAACAGCAACAACUAGCUAAAUAAAAUGCAGAUAUCAGAACAGACCUACCUGCAGUCUCUGAGUGUUUUAUGUGUUAAUUACUCUGUCUUUGCAUUGUACCAGCUGAGUAACAGACUGCAGGUCAUAUAAACCGUCUGUGAUCUGAUGUAGAUAGGUGGCUGUGACGUAGAUAGGUUGGGUUUUGCGGGUGAGAAACUGUUCGACGGUCUAACUCCACAUUUCAGUGCAACACAGUUUUAGAGCUUUGCACAUGCUUUCAGCAACUAAUUUCACACGUUUAUAAUGUACUGAGAAGCAAAUCAUGGAAUUUGCUUUACAGCACCUUUAAGUACUAUCUUAUAAAACUUUUGAACAUCUAUUUUUCUAGUAUGUAGUAUAUCUUGAAGCGUUGCCAAAUUUUUAAAUAGUUCAGGAAUGUUAUAUUACAUGUUUAAUAACUUCCAAAUGUUAUUAAAGAGAGUUACAUCUGAUAUGACACA